RNAcentral lists this long non-coding RNA (199 nucleotides) under Elaeis guineensis (African oil palm). RNAcentral's name for it is "long non-coding RNA (EGUI_LNC068623)". The record is from RNAcentral. Lineage: Eukaryota; Viridiplantae; Streptophyta; Magnoliopsida; Arecales; Arecaceae.
CAGUGCUUUCGCCUCUCUCUCUUUUCUUAGGUUCCGUAUGGGCUUCAUACGGUGCAAAAAACUGAACCCCUUCUCUCUGUUUCACGCACAGGCCAUUUUAAAGGGUUAAAACCCAAUUAGAUUAGGUUUAAGAGUCCUUAAUCAACCCAAAUCAGGUUCUGAACCGUCGGAUCAAAAAAUAGAUCAACCAACGCCCUCC